UAAGACAUCUUAUGUAAAAUCCACAUAAA
RNAcentral lists this non-coding RNA (29 nucleotides) under Cricetulus griseus (Chinese hamster). The record is from RNAcentral. Lineage: Eukaryota; Metazoa; Chordata; Mammalia; Rodentia; Cricetidae.